Picea glauca (white spruce) is the source of this 123-nucleotide non-coding RNA. Lineage: Eukaryota; Viridiplantae; Streptophyta; Pinopsida; Pinales; Pinaceae. The record is from Rfam.
AUGUACAUUCCUACAACAUAGCAUUAAUGCAAUGGAUCCCAUUAGAACUUCGCAUUUAAGCACGCUCGGGCUAUAUUAGUACUGGGAUGGGUGAUCGUCCAAGAAGCCCUAAUAUUUUACAUG